Molecule: ribosomal RNA, 1048 nt
Filed under: Shigella boydii
Lineage: Bacteria; Pseudomonadati; Pseudomonadota; Gammaproteobacteria; Enterobacterales; Enterobacteriaceae
Description: bacterial SSU rRNA
Rfam family: Bacterial small subunit ribosomal RNA
Source: RNAcentral
CUAACUCCGUGCCAGCAGCCGCGGUAAUACGGAGGGUGCAAGCGUUAAUCGGAAUUACUGGGCGUAAAGCGCACGCAGGCGGUUUGUUAAGUCAGAUGUGAAAUCCCCGGGCUCAACCUGGGAACUGCAUCUGAUACUGGCAAGCUUGAGUCUCGUAGAGGGGGGUAGAAUUCCAGGUGUAGCGGUGAAAUGCGUAGAGAUCUGGAGGAAUACCGGUGGCGAAGGCGGCCCCCUGGACGAAGACUGACGCUCAGGUGCGAAAGCGUGGGGAGCAAACAGGAUUAGAUACCCUGGUAGUCCACGCCGUAAACGAUGUCGACUUGGAGGUUGUGCCCUUGAGGCGUGGCUUCCGGAGCUAACGCGUUAAGUCGACCGCCUGGGGAGUACGGCCGCAAGGUUAAAACUCAAAUGAAUUGACGGGGGCCCGCACAAGCGGUGGAGCAUGUGGUUUAAUUCGAUGCAACGCGAAGAACCUUACCUGGUCUUGACAUCCACGGAAGUUUUCAGAGAUGAGAAUGUGCCUUCGGGAACCGUGAGACAGGUGCUGCAUGGCUGUCGUCAGCUCGUGUUGUGAAAUGUUGGGUUAAGUCCCGCAACGAGCGCAACCCUUAUCCUUUGUUGCCAGCGGUCCGGCCGGGAACUCAAAGGAGACUGCCAGUGAUAAACUGGAGGAAGGUGGGGACGACGUCAAGUCAUCAUGGCCCUUACGACCAGGGCUACACACGUGCUACAAUGGCGCAUACAAAGAGAAGCGACCUCGCGAGAGCAAGCGGACCUCAUAAAGUGCGUCGUAGUCCGGAUUGGAGUCUGCAACUCGACUCCAUGAAGUCGGAAUCGCUAGUAAUCGUGGAUCAGAAUGCCACGGUGAAUACGUUCCCGGGCCUUGUACACACCGCCCGUCACACCAUGGGAGUGGGUUGCAAAAGAAGUAGGUAGCUUAACCUUCGGGAGGGCGCUUACCACUUUGUGAUUCAUGACUGGGGUGAAGUCGUAACAAGGUAACCGUAGGGGAACCUGCGGUUGGAUCACCUCCUUACCUUAAAGAAGC